AGCAGCCGCGGCAAUUCCAGCUCCAAUAGCGUAUAUUAAAGUUGUUGCAGUUAAAAAGCUCAUAGUUGAAUUUCGGGGUCAGUAGGUCGGUCGUGCCACUGGUAUGAACUGGUUUUACUGAUUCCUCCCUCUUGAAGAACUGUAAUGCCAUUAAUUUGGUGUUGCAGGGAAUCAGGACUGUUACUUUGAAAAAAUUAGAGUGUUUAAAGCAGGCUUUAGCUUGAAUACAUUAGCAUGGAAUAAUGAAAUAGGACGUUUGAUCCUAUUUUGUUGGUUUCUAGGAUUGACGUAAUGAUUAAUAGGGAUAGUUGGGGGCAUUAGUAUUCAAUUGUUAGAGGUGAAAUUCUUGGAUUUAUUGAAGACUAACUACUGCGAAAGCAUUUGCCAAGGAUGUUUUCAUUAAUCAAGAACGAAAGUUAGGGGAUCGAAGACGAUCAGAUACCGUCGUAGUCUUAACCAUAAACUAUGCCGACUAGGGAUCGGAUGAUGUUAAUUUUUUAAUGACUCA
Molecule: ribosomal RNA, 508 nt
Filed under: uncultured fungus
Lineage: Eukaryota; Fungi
Description: SSU rRNA
Rfam family: Eukaryotic small subunit ribosomal RNA
Source: RNAcentral